CACAGUGUAUCACGCUACAUACAACCAACAGGUAUGUACAGGACCGGCCUUCCCAUUACCCCGUCAUAUACAGUGUAUCACGCUACAUACAACCAACAGGUAUGUACAGGACCGGCCUUCCCAUUACCCCGUCAUAUACAGUGUAUGGUGCUGAAUCCUACUGUACUAGAAUGCCCACUCACAGGCAGUACAUCACACUACAGAACACAUAUAAAAUGGAGCCCAUCUGCAGGUGUAGUGUUGGCCUCCUGUGAAGCCACACUCUCCAUGUGGGUUGGCAAUUACACUCAGAUGUCAGCAUCUAAAACCACUCCUCUGCUUUCUGUCCUCCCCCGCUGUCUCUCUCCCCCUCUCCCUCUCUCAGCCUCUCUCUCUCCCCCUCUCCCUCUCUCAGCCUCUCUGUGUCUCUGCGACUAUUGUCUGUAUUGACAUAAUGAAGCCAUUCAUCCUCUGGUACUUAACCUGUCAGUUGUGUUGCUAGUGUAGUUUACAGCAGUACUGUUACUGUAUGUGGUGUAGUUUACAGCAAUACUGUUACUGUAUGUGGUGUAGUUUACAGCAAUACUGUUACUGUACUGUAUGUGAUGUAGUUUACAGCAAUACUGUACUGUAUGUGGUGUAGUUUACAGCAAUACUGUUACUGUACUGUAUGUGGUGUAGAUUACAGCAAUACUGUUACUGUACUGUAUGAGAUGUAGUUUACAGCAAUACUGUUACUGUUACUGUAUGUGGUGUAGUUU
RNAcentral lists this long non-coding RNA (740 nucleotides) under Salmo salar (Atlantic salmon). RNAcentral describes it as "lncRNA (ENSSSAG00000108694.1)". The record is from RNAcentral. Lineage: Eukaryota; Metazoa; Chordata; Actinopteri; Salmoniformes; Salmonidae.